Molecule: long non-coding RNA, 1203 nt
Filed under: Mus musculus (house mouse)
Lineage: Eukaryota; Metazoa; Chordata; Mammalia; Rodentia; Muridae
Description: RIKEN cDNA 4930542C12 gene
Source: RNAcentral
AUGCAGCGAGCCUGGGCGCCGCCGGCGCUCACCUAUCACCGCGCCCACCACAUCGUUCUUCACCCCGAAGCAGAGCGGCGGUUCGCGGCGGCCGGCGGCCGUAGCCUCGGCGGCCCCGGCGGGCUCUCUCCAGCCGCCGCCCGCACCCCUGCUACCGACCCGGCCUCUCCGGUUCGUCUCCUCCGUCGCUGUCCGGUCGGCGCCCCGGGACCCGGUCGAGCUUCGCCGGGGAGCAACGCCCGAGGAGGAAGCGUUGGCUGCGGGUUCCCGCCUAGACAUGGCUCUGAGGAGAGCCGCGCGUCGCACGUCGUUCCAGACUCAGCUGCACAGGCCGCGGCGUCGGAAAAACUCCGCUGCCGCCCGCGAGCUCGCCCGCCAGUCCUCUGCGCGCUCAUUGGCCGCCGCGCUUCGGGGGCGGGGCCUGGCUGGCCUGACCAAUCGGCGCUUGCAACCGAGCGGCCACCUGGACCCCUAUUUGCCCGGCUAGUGUCUGGCUGGGAACAUCAGCUUGAGGACAGUGCGUCUCCGUGCCACGGAAACGAUCCCAACCGUGCCUCGAAAUUCAGGUUCAUGACGGGCUAAUGUACAGGCUUGAGAUCUGGGGCAGGAGGGUCUGCGUGACAAUUACUUUCAGGCUCUAUCUUAAAAUAACUCGAUGAAAGCGCUUGCCUAAGCGCAGGAUACCCUAUCUACACUCCCCAAUACCUAAAGUUAAAAAAAAAAAAAAAUAGCACUGCCUGAAGCACACCCAGCUUUGCAAGGAUUUUGGAGCUGGACACAGUCCUCCAGGCCUGGCCUAAGCUCCAGCAUCCUUUGCUGGGAUUGGGAUCCUCGAAUUGUCAGACUAGAUCACAGGUCAACCAUCCAUCAAACAGAGGACACGCAGAAUCUUAGCAUUGAAUGUCUUGUAGGAGACACUGAGGAAAAACUGGAAGGUUGGGUCCAUCCUGGGUUAAAUAAAUUACAUCAAAUUAUAUUAUAUAAUACUAUGUAUACUAAUAUCUUUGAAGAUAGCCUUAAUUCUCCUGCCUGGGAGUGGGCACUCAAGUGCUGGGCUUAUAGAUGAAUUUCAUGACACACAGAUGUAGCAACAGUAUCUCUUGAUACAAUACUCUCUGGGGGAAUGUGAAUAAAACACCAAACUAUCAAAGCAUCUUGGACUUACACAGAAACAUCGAGCAAAAUAAAAAAUAAGCCAAUCAC